RNAcentral lists this ribosomal RNA (500 nucleotides) under uncultured bacterium. Its description in RNAcentral is "partial 16S ribosomal RNA". It matches the Rfam family "Bacterial small subunit ribosomal RNA", at positions 30 to 523 of the family's 1533-position model. The record is from RNAcentral.
AUUGAACGCUGGCGGAAUGCUUUACACAUGCAAGUCGAACGGCAGCACGGACUUCGGUCUGGUGGCGAGUGGCGAACGGGUGAGUAAUGUACCGGAACGUGCCCAGUCGUGGGGGAUAACGUAGUGAAAACUACGCUAAUACCGCAUACGAUCUAUGGAUGAAAGCGGGGGAUCGCAAGACCUCGCGCGAUUGGAGCGGCCGAUAUCAGAUUAGGUGGUUGGUGGGGUAAAGGCCCACCAAGCCAACGAUCUGUAGCUGGUCUGAGAGGACGACCAGCCACACUGGAACUGAGACACGGUCCAGACUCCUACGGGAGGCAGCAGUGGGGAAUCUUGGACAAUGGGCGAAAGCCUGAUCCAGCCAUUCCGCGUGCAGGAUGAAGGCCCUCGGGUUGUAAACUGCUUUUGUACAGAACGAAAAGGUUUCUACUAAUACUAGGAGCUCAUGACGGUACUGUAAGAAUAAGCACCGGCUAACUACGUGCCAGCAGCCGCGGUAA